UCGUAUAAAAGGAGAGAAAAUGUGAUAGAAAUCAGUCGAGAGAGAAUCUCCGACACGGCAAGUGCAGUCUGCAGUGUACUAUUAGUUACCAACUGCAUUUUUCGUCGUACCACCAGUUUGCUAUCAUGGUUACAAUCGAAAAAAUCUGAUGUUCACGAUUGGAGGUCACAAGAAACAUUUCGUAAAACUGGCAUGCGGUGGUGUAGAGGUUGGGUGAGAACCGGACGUUAUGCAUCAUUAUAAAAAAGUAAAAUAUGUCGUCGUACUGAUGUUGGGUGUCGUAUCGGCUCGGUCAACCACUGGUGUACUGAUGUCUUCUGGGUCUGGCGGGUGUGAAACCGCAACGCCGCACGUUACUACACCGACGUCCCCAAGUACUACACCACCAAGUCUCCAGAUUAUUACACCACAACUUCGCUGCCCUGAGCUACUACACCGAAUUCCCGAAAAAUUAUUCUUCCCCGAGCUACGCCAUGAAUAGUGUCGAGUACUACACCGAGCCCCCUAAUUACUACACUACUACAUAUCACGGGAGAGAAAAGGCGAUAGAUAUCAGUCGAAUGGUUAUCACUGAUAUGGCAACAUCUGCAGUGCAGUAGUCGUCACCAACUGCAUUCUUCGUCGUACCACCAGUUUUUGCAAUCAUGGUAAACUAUUUUGUCGUGCUGCUGUUGGGUGUCGUUUCGUUGAUGGCCGAGUCGACCACUGGUGUACUAAUGUCUCCUGGGUAUGGUGGAUACCAAAGCACGACGCCGCCGUCGUACUAUGCAACAACAACAUAGACACGACCAGUUACUACACCGAGGCCCCCAAGUACUACACCACCAAGGAACCAGAGUGUUACACAACUACAAAUGCCGCGCCAGCUUAUUACACCGAGGCCCCCAAUAUUACUCUGCUCCCAGCUACUACACCGAGGUUCCAGCUUAUUACACCACUAAAACAGUCGAAUACUACACAGAAGUAAUCAUUGUAAACUAUGGCGUGCUGUUGUUGGGUGUUGGAUCGUUGAUGGCUGGAUUGACCACUGGUGUGCCAAUGUCUCCUGGGUAUGGCGGGUAUCAAACCACUACGCCGGCGUCCGACCUGCUCGUCAAUAACAAAUACGCAACGACCAGUUACUGUACUGA
RNAcentral lists this unclassified non-coding RNA (1130 nucleotides) under Daphnia pulicaria. RNAcentral describes it as "uncharacterized LOC124326497, transcript variant X1". The record is from RNAcentral. Lineage: Eukaryota; Metazoa; Arthropoda; Branchiopoda; Diplostraca; Daphniidae.